AUGGAAGAUCCUAAGAAAAACUGUAUGUACGAUGAACACACAAAUGGCAGCCGCACACCUCAUCAAUUUCCCAACUCUCCUCGCCUCUCUCUCUCCCGUCUCGCCCAGGUUUCUGUUAGCCCUAGCCCGUUGCUUCGUCCUCACCUCCUCAGACGCCGACGCCGACGCCUAAUGGAAUCGAUAGCGACAAGCACGGAAGCGCUCAACUGCAGCUUAAUUCGAGCCUUGAAGGCGGGCAGAUUACCUCUUUCCUCUUUACGUUCUACCCAAUCUAAAUCUAAUAGCCUAGUACAGGAAACUUUUGCCCUAAUUUUCUAA
This 318-nucleotide ribosomal RNA is filed under the name Triticum aestivum (bread wheat). Its description in RNAcentral is "partial small subunit ribosomal RNA". The record is from RNAcentral. Lineage: Eukaryota; Viridiplantae; Streptophyta; Magnoliopsida; Poales; Poaceae.